This 27-nucleotide non-coding RNA is filed under the name Rattus norvegicus (Norway rat). Lineage: Eukaryota; Metazoa; Chordata; Mammalia; Rodentia; Muridae. The record is from RNAcentral.
ACACCUUGAAAAGGAGGUGUCAGAAAC